AAUGAACGCUGGCGGCAGGCCUAACACAUGCAAGUCGAACGGAUCCUUCGGGAUUAGUGGCGGACGGGUGAGUAACGCGUGGGAACAUACCCUUUGGUACGGAAUAGCCUCGGGAAACUGGGAGUAAUACCGUAUGUGGUCGAGAGACGAAAGAUUUAUCGCCAAAGGAUUGGCCCGCUUUGGAUUAGGUAUUUGGUGGGGUAAUGGCCUACCAAGCCGACGAUCCAUAGCUGGUUUGGGAGGAUGAUCAGCCACACUGGGACUAGGACACGGCCCAGACUCCUACGGGAGGCAGCAGUGGGGAAUCUUAGACAAGGGGGGAAACCCUGAUCUAGCCAUGCCGCGUGAUCGAUGAAGGCCUUAGGGUUGUAAAGAUCUUUCAGGUGGGAAGAUAAUGACUGUACCACCAGAAGAAGCCCCGGCUAACUCCGUGCCAGCCGCCGCGGUAA
RNAcentral lists this ribosomal RNA (449 nucleotides) under uncultured bacterium. Its description in RNAcentral is "partial 16S ribosomal RNA". It matches the Rfam family "Bacterial small subunit ribosomal RNA", at positions 29 to 523 of the family's 1533-position model. The record is from RNAcentral.